RNAcentral lists this ribosomal RNA (499 nucleotides) under uncultured bacterium. RNAcentral describes it as "partial 16S ribosomal RNA". It matches the Rfam family "Bacterial small subunit ribosomal RNA", at positions 28 to 507 of the family's 1533-position model. The record is from RNAcentral.
GACGAACGCUGGCGGCGUGCUUAACACAUGCAAGUCGAACGGGCCCGCCCCUGUUUUUGGGGGUGGGUUGAGUGGCGAACGGGUGAGUAUCACGUGAGUAACCUGCCCCCUGCUCCUGGAUAACUGCUUGAAAGGGCGGCUAAUACGGGGUGUGCCGGCUGGUCCGCAUAGGCCUGGUCGGGAUAGUUUCAUCUUCGGGUGUUUCGGUGGGGGAUGGGCUCGCGGCCUAUCAGCUUGUUGGUGGGGUGAUGGCCCACCAAGGCGGUGACGGGUAGCCGGCCUGAGAGGGUGGGCGGCCAGACUGGGACGGAGACACGGCCCAGACUCCUGCGGGAGGCAGCAGUGGGGGGUAUUGCACAAUGGGCGGAAGCCUGAUGCAGCGACGUCGCGUGAGGGAUGGAGGCCUUCGGGUUGUGAACCUCUUUCUCCGGUGGUGAAGGCCCUGUCCGUUGCGGCGGGGUUGACGGUAGCCGGGUAUGAAGCGCCGGCUAACUACGUG